This 318-nucleotide ribosomal RNA is filed under the name Triticum aestivum (bread wheat). RNAcentral describes it as "partial small subunit ribosomal RNA". Lineage: Eukaryota; Viridiplantae; Streptophyta; Magnoliopsida; Poales; Poaceae. The record is from RNAcentral.
AUGGAUGAUGAUGAAUCUUCCGAUGGGUCGUUUUCAACGCGCUUUUCAGCUAGCCGUUUGCGUGAGGUUGCAGAGAAGGAGCUGAAUGCUAACAAGAGGGCAGUGCUAGAGAAGUCGAGUUUUGGUUCGUUGUUGAAGAUCAGACCAUUUUCUGUACCUCUUGAGCUGAUUGACUGGGUAGUUAUGAGAAUUGACACUAAGCAUUCUUUGUUCAGGUACCUUCAAAUCACCCUCUGGCCCAUUUCAUUUUGUUUGUGUCUCUGUUGCAAUGUUCUUUAUUUGGAAUUGCAUAGCAAUGUUCUUCGUCCUCAAAUUUGA